RNAcentral lists this ribosomal RNA (470 nucleotides) under uncultured Methanomicrobiales archaeon. RNAcentral's name for it is "bacterial SSU rRNA". It matches the Rfam family "Archaeal small subunit ribosomal RNA", at positions 872 to 1337 of the family's 1478-position model. Lineage: Archaea; Methanobacteriati; Methanobacteriota; Methanomicrobia; Methanomicrobiales. The record is from RNAcentral.
GACGGGAGCACCACAACAGGUGGAGCCUGCGGUUUAAUCGGACCCAACGCCGGGAAACUCACCAGAUAAGACAGCUGAAUGAUAGUCGGGCUGAAGACUCUACUUGACUAGCUGAGAGGAGGUGCAUGGCCGUCGUCAGUUCGUACUGUGAAGCAUCCUGUUAAGUCAGGCAACGAGCGAGACCCACGCCAACAGUUGCCAGCUCGUCCUCCGGGAUGGUGGGGACACUGUUGGGACCGCCUCUGCUAAAGAGGAGGAAGGAAUGGGCAACGGUAGGUCAGCAUGCCCCGAAUUAUCUGGGCUACACGCGGGCUACAAUGGGUGGGACAAUGGGUAUCGACACCGAAAGGUGAAGGCAAUCUCCUAAACCCAUCCGUAGUUCGGAUUGUGGGCUGCAACUCGCCCACAUGAAGCUGGAAUCUGUAGUAAUCGUGUCUCAAAAUGGCACGGUGAAUAUGUCCCUGCUCCUU